This 167-nucleotide unclassified non-coding RNA is filed under the name soil metagenome. RNAcentral describes it as "partial contains 5.8S ribosomal RNA, internal transcribed spacer 2, and large subunit ribosomal RNA". The record is from RNAcentral.
AACGGUCUAUACCUGCGGUACCUGCGGAAGGAUCAUUAGUGAACGCCCUCGCGGGCUUAUAACUAUUCCAAACCUCUGUGAACCGUGCCCUUCGGGGCUAUUUUACAAACAUGGUGUAAUGAACGUCAUAUAUCAUAACAAAACAAAACUUUUAGCAAUGGAUCUCU